CAAUACGGGGCUUAUGUCUUGUAAUUGGAAUGAUGGGAAUCUAAACCCCUUCCAGAGUAACAAUUGGAGGGCAAGUCUGGUGCCAGCAGCCGCGGUAAUUCCAGCUCCAAUAGCGUAUAUUAAACUUGUUGCAGUUAAAAAGCUCGUAGUUGAAUUUCUGCGUUGACUGCGUCCGGCUUUGUGCGGCUUGGUUGGGUUUCGAUUAUUCGUUUUACUUUGAGAAAAUUAGAGUGCUUGAAGCAGGCUUUUGCCUUGAAUACUUUAGCAUGGAAUAACGGAGUAGGACUUUGGUUCUAUUUUG
This 301-nucleotide ribosomal RNA is filed under the name Theileria equi. RNAcentral describes it as "SSU rRNA". It matches the Rfam family "Eukaryotic small subunit ribosomal RNA", at positions 477 to 843 of the family's 1831-position model. The record is from RNAcentral. Lineage: Eukaryota; Apicomplexa; Aconoidasida; Piroplasmida; Theileriidae.